Small nucleolar RNA from Mastomys coucha (southern multimammate mouse), 131 nucleotides. RefSeq annotates it as small nucleolar RNA SNORA17. The transcript has a single exon. NCBI's taxonomy places the organism in Eukaryota, Metazoa, Chordata, Mammalia, Rodentia, Muridae. The record is from RefSeq and is a predicted model, not a curated record.
CUAGCCCUUAGAGAUAUUAUAGGUGUGGUUACUGCAUUACAUGUGAGUCAAUAGGUGGCAAAGUGGGAGAGACUAUACCUAUGCUUAGUGUUCUAAUCUGUGAACAUCUGAAUAAUUAGUAGCCUACCUUG